Molecule: non-coding RNA, 95 nt
Organism: Mycena leptocephala
Lineage: Eukaryota; Fungi; Basidiomycota; Agaricomycetes; Agaricales; Mycenaceae
Source: the annotation of a GenBank genome assembly
GGCCUGGUGGUGUAAUGGUUACACAUUCUCUUUCAGUAUCGCAAUACUCCGCCAAGGUUGUGAGGAAGUCUCCGGUUUGAAUUUGGGUCAGGCCA